This 373-nucleotide unclassified non-coding RNA is filed under the name soil metagenome. RNAcentral's name for it is "partial contains 5.8S ribosomal RNA, internal transcribed spacer 2, and large subunit ribosomal RNA". The stretch from base 1 to 121 matches the Rfam family "5.8S ribosomal RNA", at positions 35 to 154 of the family's 154-position model. The record is from RNAcentral.
GAUGAAGAACGUAGCGAAAUGCGAUAAGUAAUGCGAAUUGCAGAAUUCCAGUGAGUCAUCGAAUCUUUGAACGCACAUUGCGCCCUUUGGUAUUCCGAAGGGCAUGCCUGUUCGAGCGUCACUAUCACCCCUCAAGCCCUCGGCUUGGUGUUGGAAGGUUUGGUGGAGGCCCCCUCGGGGGCUCCUGCCCCUCCCAAAGACAAUGACGGCGGCCUCGUUGGACCCCCGGUACACUGAGUUCUUCACGGGACACGUAUCGGACACAUGGGUUUACGGGACACGGUCUGCCUCCCCUCAGGGAGAAUCUUUCUAAGGUUGACCUCGGAUCAGGUAGGGAUACCCGCUGAACUUAAGCAUAUCAAUAAGCGGAGGA